This 366-nucleotide ribosomal RNA is filed under the name uncultured Flavobacterium sp. RNAcentral's name for it is "bacterial SSU rRNA". It matches the Rfam family "Bacterial small subunit ribosomal RNA", at positions 355 to 718 of the family's 1533-position model. Lineage: Bacteria; Pseudomonadati; Bacteroidota; Flavobacteriia; Flavobacteriales; Flavobacteriaceae. The record is from RNAcentral.
UGAGGAAUAUUGGACAAUGGGCGCAAGCCUGAUCCAGCCAUGCCGCGUGCAGGAUGACGGUCCUAUGGAUUGUAAACUGCUUUURCACAGGAAGAAACAACWUUACGUGUARUGUCUUGACGGUACUGURAGAAUAAGGAUCGGCUAACUCCGUGCCAGCAGCCGCGGUAAUACGGAGGAUCCAAGCGUUAUCCGGAAUCAUUGGGUUUAAAGGGUCCGUAGGCGGUUUAGUAAGUCAGUGGUGAAAGCCCAUCGCUCAACGGUGGAACGGCCAUUGAUACUGCUAGACUUGAAUUAUUAGGAAGUAACUAGAAUAUGUAGUGUAGCGGUGAAAUGCUUAGAGAUUACAUGGAAUACCAAUUGCGA